UACGGAGGAUGCAAGCGUUAUCCGGAAUGAUUGGGCGUAAAGCGUCCGCAGGUGGCUAUGUAAGUCUGCUGUUAAAGAGUGAGGCUCAACCUCAUAAAAGCAGUGGAAACUACAUGGCUAGAGUGCGUUCGGGGCAGAGGGAAUUCCUGGUGUAGCGGUGAAAUGCGUAGAGAUCAGGAGGAACACCCGUGGCGAAGGCGGCUCCCUGGUCCGUCCCUGACGCUGAGACGCGAAAGCGCGGGGAGCGAACGGG
RNAcentral lists this ribosomal RNA (253 nucleotides) under uncultured bacterium. RNAcentral describes it as "partial 16S ribosomal RNA". It matches the Rfam family "Bacterial small subunit ribosomal RNA", at positions 524 to 776 of the family's 1533-position model. The record is from RNAcentral.